UUGACCUCGGAUCAGGUAGGGAUACCCGCUGAACUUAAGCAUAUCAAUAAGCGGAGGAAAAGAAACCAACAGGGAUUGCCCCAGUAACGGCGAGUGAAGCGGCAAGAGCUCAAAUUUGAAAGCUGGCUCCUUCGGGGUCCGCAUUGUAAUUUGCAGAGGAUGCUUCGGGAGCGGUCCCCAUCUAAGUGCCCUGGAACGGGACGUCAUAGAGGGUGAGAAUCCCGUAUGGGAUGGGGUGUCCGCGCCCGUGUGAAGCUCCUUCGACGAGUCGAGUUGUUUGGGAAUGCAGCUCUAAAUGGGUGGUAAAUUUCAUCUAAAGCUAAAUAUUGGCCGGAGACCGAUAGCGCACAAGUAGAGUGAUCGAAAGAUGAAAAGCACUUUGAAAAGAGAGUUAAAAAGCACGUGAAAUUGUUGAAAGGGAAGCGCUUGCGACCAGACUCGCUCGCGGGGUUCAGCCGGCAUUCGUGCCGGUGUACUUCCCCGCGGGCGGGCCAGCGUCGGUUUGGGCGGUCGGUCAAAGGCCCUCGGAAGGUAACGCCCCUAGGGGCGUCUUAUAGCCGAGGGUGCAAUGCGACCUGCCUGGACCGAGGAACGCGCUUCGGCUCGGACGCUGGCAUAAUGGUCGUAAGCGACC
Molecule: ribosomal RNA, 634 nt
Filed under: Penicillium madriti
Lineage: Eukaryota; Fungi; Ascomycota; Eurotiomycetes; Eurotiales; Aspergillaceae
Description: eukaryotic LSU rRNA
Rfam family: Eukaryotic large subunit ribosomal RNA
Source: RNAcentral